Molecule: ribosomal RNA, 1404 nt
Filed under: Triticum aestivum (bread wheat)
Lineage: Eukaryota; Viridiplantae; Streptophyta; Magnoliopsida; Poales; Poaceae
Description: partial small subunit ribosomal RNA
Source: RNAcentral
AUGCAGAUGGAUAGCGGGCAGAUCUCGUCCCUGGGCAGGGAGAAUAAGGAUUUGCUGGACGCUCUGUAUCGUCACCGUGAGAUCCUAAGGCUCGAGACCAAUUUGCUGAGGGGAGAAAUCGCGUCCCGGAAUCUGGCGACCGUUGCUGGGAAGAAGGCCUAUCUGAAGAGUCAUUCCGACGGAAGAUCACUCUCCGGCGCACCAUCUCAGUUGGUCGAGCAGUCGUCCGUCCAUCAGAUUGCGGAUUUGCCACUGGUGAGUUUGCCCUAUCUUGUUCCUAAUCAGGGGGAGGCCCUCGAUCUGCUCUUGCACGAGACCCACAAAUUCGCCUACCGGCUCCGAUCUCUGAAGAAAGAAUUCGGUGUCACCAUCCCUCUGGAGAAGCUCAGAUUGCUGCUUCUCCUCUCGCAAGAAUGUUUCAGAAUCUCCAAAACCAUAGGGACGCAUGGAUCGCCAGUUUCUUGUGAAUCUUCUGAGGAUGCUGAAAUUUCUCUCUUCAAUGAGCGCCGUGUCUGCUGGGAAAAUACUUGGGGCAGUCCUGUGUUUAGGUGUGGCAGCUUCAACGACAUAACCACACUGUCUCCUAUGUACUUUACGCACUCUGCACCUCGUGUCAUCGAAUCCACUCGCUACAUCACCAAGGCCUUGCAGAUCUACUCCUUCAAAAUCUCUGACCUAAAUGGCUACUGGAAGUGGCCACUCUGUGUGUACGGCGUGGUCGCUGCUCGAGACGCUGUGGACUGUAACCGCAACCUUCUCUUCUCUCGCUCCAGGGCUAACUGCCAAGUAGUCACUGAAAAGGAUCCUUUUUUGCACUUGACUGGCCCUUCUCGUGCAAUUGUGGCUGACGAACCUGUUGACUUUGAAGUCGAGCUAAAGAUAAAAUGUGGAACAAAUCAGUCCCAAGAUAUAGCUUUGAUCAGUUCUACUUACCACUACACUUCUAGAGGUGAUGCUGCUUUUUUCACUGGCAGCUCUUGUUCGGCAACGUUGAGCCUUGAGACAGUUCCUAGAGCGGCCCAGGCCACUAUUGUAUCUAUUCGAGUGGUUGGAGGAGUGUCUCUUUUCGAAUUUGGAGGCCGGGUUGCUUGCUCGUUCUCUACUGAGGAGUAUGUUGAUCCCACAUGCGAGCAAGUUGUGCUGGUUGAGUCUGCUGAAAAGAUUCCUGAGGAUGAUGGUUACCUUACACUGUCAAGGAAGGUUGUUACGGCAGGACUACAAGGAGGAUUGCAAGUUGCCAUACAAGCCUAUGGGGGAUCUGACCGUCCAUCCGUAUCCGGUCUUCUUUACUUCCCUUCCCGGUAUUGCAGGGUAAGUCGGCGCACAUGCUUGGUCGGUGGCUUUGAGGUGGAGGUAACUGUUGCUUGGUCGUGGUUUGUACAGGACAAGAUGGAAAUCUUGUGA